GAGGGCAAGGAGGAAGCAUAUGAACCAGGAGAAGCUAAAUGAUAAAGUUUGUAGGAAAAGAAUCAGGAAGUAGCAACCCAGGUCUGCUAUGGGUUCUCCAUGAUCAAUCACCAGAGACUCCAUUCACGAAGGGUCCCCUACUCUGCCAAAGCCGACAUUGUCACUCCCAUCAUCUUCUUCCAGAAUGCUGCUGGAAAGCCCAUCUGUAUCUCCGCAUUCCAAGAAGUGACUAGAAGAAGGACUUAGCCAGGUGUUUGCACUCUUUCUCUGGAAGCUGUAUUCAAAUUCCACAACACGCUUGCUCUACCUCUGACAAGGAACAUCAUCAUGUGUCUACACAAAUGUCUCAGAGAAGCUAUGAAAGACUCAUCUGUUAGCUGAGCCGCCGUGCACCCAGCUAAACUGUAAAGUGCUUUCUCAUAAAUAACAAAUACCAGGAGUAUGAUAUUUUGUAAAAGAAUCAACAGAUGAAAAUGCAAGUUAAAGAGGGAACUCCGUUUUUGAUCUCAACUCUGAGUGAUUUUAGACAAACCACAUUGCCUCUCAUUCCUUCAUUUCAGAUAUGAAACUGACAUCAGGGAAUCUUUUCUGCUGCUCUUUCCAGCACGUUCCAUAUUUUUCUGUCUGUGUAUCUCUAAUUUAUCAGCAUUUUCCUUCACUUAAUCUCCCUCGUUCCUCAAAAGAAACAAGUAUUUCCAUUUGUGGGGUUGAAAGUGAAAAUUCAGGAACUUAAGUGAGGCAUCUAGAGUGAGGUGGAGUUGAGCUUGUACUCUCUUAUUCUCGGAUUCCAUACAAUUGUGUUCUAUAUAGAGAAAUAGUAUUGAUAAAAUCAUCUCAAACAGGUGCUCUAUGUUGAAUGUCUACUUCCCUAUUAGUUCAACAGAGUUGCAUUAAGUUGAUUUCCUGUAGGCAGUGAAAUAGAAUAUAGACAUUUUAUAUCGGACUCUUUGACCAAAAUUCAGGUUCAAAGGUGUUGAGGAACAAGCAAGUGUUAACAAAAAAUGUAUUUGUAAAAUGUUGAUUCAUACCUAGCUCCUGGCUUUUAAAUGUACAUUUCAGAGAAGUGGUAAAGCACACUCAAAAAAUGUGUACUCUACAUUUUUUAAAAAUAAGAGUAUUACAGUCUGUUGCAGUAAUGUAGGUUACAGAGAGUUGAGGAGACUUUUAUGGUGUGAGUUUUGCUGUUUUGGACUAUAUUAUACCCUUUGUGUUUACAUAAAGCAAUGCUUUAUGGCAGUCACUAGGCCAUUACUUUUUAAGUUCAGAUAAUAUUGUUUCAUAGUUUAUUUGGGAAGGAAAGGGGCUGGGCUUUAAAUAAUUACAGUUUGGUUGCAUACAGUUUUUGAUAACUAAGUAUUAGAUUCAUUUCAGAUGGGAAUUUAUGUUUCUCGUAUGUUCCAACUGAAAUUAUUAUCCUAAUAAAUCUCAGUCCUCCAUGAGAGACUCA
This 1447-nucleotide long non-coding RNA is filed under the name Felis catus (domestic cat). RNAcentral's name for it is "lncRNA (ENSFCAG00000051056.1)". Lineage: Eukaryota; Metazoa; Chordata; Mammalia; Carnivora; Felidae. The record is from RNAcentral.